UUACUUGCUUUGUCAGUACAUAAACUAAAAUUGGAAUGAUACAGGGAAUAGCCUGGUCCCUGUGCAAGGAUGACACGCACAUUUGUGACUCAUUCCAUGCUUUU
Rattus norvegicus (Norway rat) is the source of this 104-nucleotide small nuclear RNA. The record is from Ensembl. Lineage: Eukaryota; Metazoa; Chordata; Mammalia; Rodentia; Muridae.